This is a long non-coding RNA of Anguilla rostrata (American eel), 639 nucleotides long. RefSeq lists it as uncharacterized. NCBI's taxonomy places the organism in Eukaryota, Metazoa, Chordata, Actinopteri, Anguilliformes, Anguillidae. The transcript is spliced from 4 exons. The record is from RefSeq and is a predicted model, not a curated record.
GAAGAGGCCCGAGAUCUCCUGGUGGUCCUCGGCUGCGGACACCUCCUGGAAGUGGCACCUGUUCUCCCGGGCCAGGGUGCGGCCCUCCUCCUCGCACACCUGCCGGGCGUGGCACAGGUCCUGCUUGUUCCCCACCAGUGUUCCUUCCUGGUGGACCAAGGGAAGCCAUCCACACCUGCCCUGUAGAAGGUCAUGUAGUCGUCGCUGUCCGAAUCGCUGUCACUGCCCAGAUGGAAGGUCUUGCCGGGAAACACCUCCUUGAGUUUUGAUUGGAAGAAGGCCUUUAGGCUCCGCCCAGCCUGUGCCACUUCAGAGUCGGGCUGCAAUGGGGAGAGACAAAGUGGAGGGGUGGAUUAAAGAGUGAUCCAUAAUGGACAAUGGCACAGAACACAGGAUCCAGGCCCCAGGGGGAAAAAGGUUCCUCUCUCGGAAAGCAAUACACAACACAGAACCGAUCGGAGGUCAUUACCUCUCCCGCAGCACCACGGAUCGCGUUGCGUAUCGCCGCCUGAGCUCUCUGGACAAGGGACAAACACAGGGGGGGUAACUCAUUAACACAGAGGCGAUAACAUAACCCCCCAUCGCUCACGAGCGUCUCUGACCGCGGGAGGACCCGAGGCUGACCAUCGUACCUCUUCG